CGACGAUUCGCAAGGCAAGCUCGCCAUUCCCGCGCGCGGCGAUACCCUGCGCGUGUCGUUCGGCUGGUCCGAUACCGGCGUCGUCGAC
Molecule: transfer RNA, 88 nt
Filed under: Paraburkholderia aspalathi
Lineage: Bacteria; Pseudomonadati; Pseudomonadota; Betaproteobacteria; Burkholderiales; Burkholderiaceae
Description: tRNA-Gly
Source: RNAcentral